Molecule: long non-coding RNA, 1864 nt
Organism: Canis lupus familiaris (dog)
Lineage: Eukaryota; Metazoa; Chordata; Mammalia; Carnivora; Canidae
Exons: 6
Source: RefSeq, a predicted model, not a curated record
GCCUCCUCUUCGCCGCCGGCUCCCUCCCCUCCUCCCCGGCCGCGGGUGCCGUCCGCCCUCCAGAAGACGUACGCGAAGCGACAAGGAAAGCCUUCCACCAAAAUGAGCUGUGAUAUCCUUUUGAUGGGUAUAAUUUAUUCCAAAUCGUCCCUGGACUGAAACGAUCAAUUAGCAGCCCGAAACGCACUGUGAAGUAAAUUGUCACACUCUCUAUUACAGGAUGGUUAUCAUAUAUUUAUAAGGUGUGUUUUCUGCAAUCAGAACCAACAAGGUGUUGAGCGAUCAGUCAUAAACGUACUUCUUCAAAAAGAGCGGGACAGAAGCUCUAGCAUUGUGUGGCGGAAGAAGAAAAUCUUAUGACAGUUAUUACCUCGCCCACCCUCUGCCCACGGUGAUAUUUUCAUUUCCUCUUGGCAUCUGGGAAGUGCAGUGAGGCGAGAGCUCUGCACCAACUCUCCAGGCCGCUCGCGUGACCCCGGGAACAGGGUCGCUGUGAACCUCAAACUCACAGCCCCAAGAGGACUGGUUUCCUUAUUGUGUAAAUAGAGAUCGGGCGUAAGGAUCGUCCUCACUCUUUCUCCGUCUCUGUUUUUACUCCCAUCCAGGAAAAUAUCCUACUCUUCCCUUCUAAGCUUCCAGCAGGAUGCUUGCGUUCUGUACUUAAGUGCCUUAUCUUCUUGUGUCUGAUAUUUAGGUGUUAUGUACGGUAGAGAUCAUGCCAUAGUGACGCACAGGUUACCCACAGAGAGAACUCUGCAUUCCGAACUGGAAUCUCUGCCAGAACGCACAAACUCUUGAGAAAGUCAUAAAUUCUCAUUCAGUCUGGUAGACUGUCUUGACCAACCUGUGGAGACAUUGUUAUUUAUAGUCGUCCUUAAUGAGUGUACAUGGAUGGAUAUACAUCCGGAACUUCUGAGUUUCCUGUAACAAGCUAUCAUCAUAUUCUCAUCCACCAACCAACCACCUAUUAAUCAUUUUUUUAGAGGGACUCUGAGUUGUCACCUGCCAUUUGGUGUCUAGCCAAAGAGACCUUAUCCAAGUUUUUUCUUCUUGGUGCCUCCCUGCUUCUAAUGUCUGCAAUCACCUUCCAAGUCUGAUGAAGUCAACAGUCAUCCCUGGUCAUUUGUAUACCAAGUCAAAGGAUAAAGCAAAGAAGCAGAAGAAAGAAAGACAUUAGUAUGAAUACAAGUGUUUCUUUGGUAGCAAGAACAUAUUGGAUGUAAGCCAUAGGAAGACAUGAGGAAGAACAAAAAAGUUGGGAAAACAACAACCAGAAGAAAGCAGAAGACAGUGAUCUAAAAGAACCUACUUUAGAGUGAACUGGAGCUUUAUCCACUGUGUCUUCAUUAGUCAUAAGAAACUGAAUGAACUCUUUUUGGGGAUCCCAGUUCGUAUCAUUUUCUGACCUAAAUUCAUCUGUACCUGAGGAAAUUCCUGUCAAUGUAUCAACACAAUCAUCUUUUACCAAUAAAUCAUCACUAUCCUCACCCACCUCUACUUGAUUUAUUAAAGUGCUAUCUGACUUUAUACUACUCCCUACUGAAUUCUGAAUGUCACAACCAACGGAAGCAGAGUAUUCAAAACUCAUGGCUGCUGCAUUAAGAUAUAAUGCAAACACCGAACCAUCAAAAUCUGUUGCGGUGAAUAAUGGAUCUAGAAUUUUUGACAUCAAGAAUUAUUUCCCUACAUUCAUGGAUGGUUAUGCAGCAUCUAGGCAAGAAAGCAUUUGAUCUAUUAGCUAAUUUCACACUGUUUCAAAUAAUUUUUCCAACUAUCUUUGUCAAAUAUAUGUAACAGAGCCAUCAAUGCUAGUUUAUGUUAAUUUAAAUAAGUAGGGGACAUAUUUGAAGGUAGACAUUAUUUA